This 259-nucleotide long non-coding RNA is filed under the name Callithrix jacchus (white-tufted-ear marmoset). RNAcentral describes it as "lncRNA (ENSCJAG00000079837.1)". The record is from RNAcentral. Lineage: Eukaryota; Metazoa; Chordata; Mammalia; Primates; Cebidae.
UGUGGCUGCAUCUGGAGUUCCUGAUGACCAUCAUGGGGCCAUGGCAUGUCAGCAAUGGGAUGACUGCAGAACCAGCGAGGAAAUGCAUGGUGUUUUGGCAUCUGUAAUGGAAAAAGAGCAAUAUUCAGCAUCUCCAGGUUUCCAUUUAUUCCAAACCUCUGAGGUGUCAUGAUGAAAGUCAUUCUUUAGGAUAAAUCAUCUAGCUAAAAUUGCAGUGAGGAGAGAGAAAAUGUAAGUAAGAAUACUGUACUUCUCUUAG